RNAcentral lists this ribosomal RNA (249 nucleotides) under Nucella dubia. Its description in RNAcentral is "partial 12S ribosomal RNA". The record is from RNAcentral. Lineage: Eukaryota; Metazoa; Mollusca; Gastropoda; Neogastropoda; Muricidae.
UUGGCGGUGUUUUAGACUUCUCAGGGGGAACCUGUCUCAUAAUCGACAAUCCACGUUAUACCUAACCUUACUUUGCUUUUUCAGUUUGUAUACCGUCGUCGUCAGGUAACUUUUAAAAAUUUAGAAGUUAGCAAGAAAACUAUAUAAGCUUUUACGUCAGAUCAAGGUGCAGCUUAUACUAGGGUGAAAAUGGGUUACAAUUAUAAAAUUAUAAAUACGAAAUAGUUGUAAUAAUAUACAAUUAAUUAU